RNAcentral lists this ribosomal RNA (528 nucleotides) under Evansstolkia leycettana. RNAcentral's name for it is "eukaryotic LSU rRNA". The stretch from base 185 to 337 matches the Rfam family "5.8S ribosomal RNA". The record is from RNAcentral. Lineage: Eukaryota; Fungi; Ascomycota; Eurotiomycetes; Eurotiales; Aspergillaceae.
GGNNCAUUACCGAGUGAGGGCCCUCUGGGUCCACCUCCCACCCGUGUUUAUUUUACCUUGUUGCUUCGGCGGGCCCGCCUUAACUGGCCGCCGGGGGGCUCACGCCCCCGGGCCCGCGCCCGCCGAAGACACCCUCGAACUCUGUCUGAAGAUUGAAGUCUGAGUGAAAAUAUAAAUUAUUUAAAACUUUCAACAACGGAUCUCUUGGUUCCGGCAUCGAUGAAGAACGCAGCGAAAUGCGAUACGUAAUGUGAAUUGCAAAUUCAGUGAAUNAUCGAGUCUUUGAACGCACAUUGCGCCCCCUGGUAUUCCGGGGGGCAUGCCUGUCCGAGCGUCAUUGCUGCCCUCAAGCCCGGCUUGUGGUGUUGGGCCCCGUCCUCCGAUCUCCGGGGGACGGGCCCGAAAGGCAGCGGCGGCACCGCGUNCGGUCCUNNAGCGUAUGGGGCUUUGUCACCCGCUCUGUAAGCCCGGCCGGCGCUUGCCGAUCAACCCAAAUUUUUAUUCCANGUUGACCUCGGAUUAAGUANG